This 838-nucleotide ribosomal RNA is filed under the name Formicidae sp. NZAC 03013677. RNAcentral describes it as "eukaryotic LSU rRNA". It matches the Rfam family "Eukaryotic large subunit ribosomal RNA", at positions 396 to 944 of the family's 3401-position model. The record is from RNAcentral. Lineage: Eukaryota; Metazoa; Arthropoda; Insecta; Hymenoptera; Formicidae.
UACGUGAAACCGUUCAGGGGUAAACCUAAGAAACCCAAAAGAUCGAACGGGGAGAUUCAUCGUCAGCGGCGCUGGCUUCGCGUCGGUGGGCGAUGUCCCGCGGAGUCCUCGCGGCUCGCGCGCGGGCACGCUACCGUGCGUCGAUGUCCGGCGCUCGUCGUCGUGCACUUCUCCCCAAGUAGAACGUCGCGACCCGCUGGGUGUCGGUCUACGGCCCGGGUGCGGUGACUGUCGCGUCGCCGGUAAAACGGCACGCGACAAACCCCCGGUCGCCCGGCCGGCUGCUCGGCGGUACGCGCAUGGUAUCAGGCCGCACUAUUUUACGGUGCGUCGAGGCCGUCGCAAGCGCGCGCCACGGUACUCGGAGGUUACGGACUUUGCGCCGUCCCCGGUCCUGGUCCGCUGUUGGUUAAAGUACGGUUCACCUUCGACAGGCCUGCGAACGUCUCUCCCCGGAGAGACCGAUACCGGUCGGCGACGCUACUGCUUUGGGUACUCUUAGGACCCGUCUUGAAACACGGACCAAGGAGUCUAACAUGUACGCGAGUCAUUGGGACUUGUCGCGAGACCUAAAGGCGUAAUGAAAGUGAAGGUCGGCCCUGGCCGUCGACCGAGGGAGGAUGGGCCGCGUCGCGAUGCGGCCUCGCACUCCCGGGGCGUCUCGUUCUCAUCGCGAGAAGAGGCGCACCCAGAGCGUACACGUUGGGACCCGAAAGAUGGUGAACUAUGCCUGGUCAGGACGAAGUCAGGGGAAACCCUGAUGGAGGUCCGUAGCGAUUCUGACGUGCAAAUCGAUCGUCGRAACUGGGUAUAGGGGCGAAAGACUAAUCGAACCAUC